AGUAAACGUCUUCCUCCAAAGACCCUCGGUGGAAUAACAGUCAGUAAGGAGGUCAUCUAUUGUAAAGGUGGCAUGAAUUCUGGAGAGCACAAGCUGCCUGAACUCAUCAGGCAAUCUUUGGGACAUGGAAUGUGGUAACAAGAUUUAUUGACAUGCCUCAGAGAAAUGUCACUGCUGAGUUUGAGGUCAAAGAAUAUGAAACAAGUACCUCCUGAGCACCUGGGUGGAGUACGGGCCAAUUGAAGAGGAGGAACUGACUCCAGAGUACCAAGAUGCUUAUGAUGAUAUCAUGAUCCUCACUAGUGACAUCAGUACAUUUGAAUACAAAAUAAAGUACUGUAAACAUCCAUCAUUUUUCGUUUAUGCU
Molecule: long non-coding RNA, 367 nt
Organism: Alosa alosa (allis shad)
Lineage: Eukaryota; Metazoa; Chordata; Actinopteri; Clupeiformes; Clupeidae
Exons: 3
Source: RefSeq, a predicted model, not a curated record